UACGUAGGGUGCGAGCGUUAAUCGGAAUUACUGGGCGUAAAGCGUGCGUAGGCGGUUCGCUGUGUCCGAUGUGAAAGCCCCGGGCUUAACCUGGGAAUGGCAUUGGAAACUGGCGGGCUUGAGUGUGGCAGAGGGGGGUGGAAUUCCGCGUGUAGCAGUGAAAUGCGUAGAGAUGCGGAGGAACACCGAUGGCGAAGGCAGCCCCCUGGGCUAACACUGACGCUCAGGCACGAAAGCGUGGGGAGCAAACGGG
Molecule: ribosomal RNA, 253 nt
Filed under: uncultured bacterium
Lineage: Bacteria
Description: partial 16S ribosomal RNA
Rfam family: Bacterial small subunit ribosomal RNA
Source: RNAcentral